CCAGUUCAGCGCCUCGGCACGCGCAUUGGUCUUGUGCGCUUCGACCUGCUUUUGUAAAUGUCGAGUCGAUUGUGGACCGGAGCGCACAUGACUGCUAUCCUCGGUAUCUCGGCAUUUUAUCACGACUCAGCGGCUGCCUUGAUCGUGGAUGGGGAAAUCGUGGCGGCAGCUCAGGAAGAGCGUUUCACACGCGUCAAGCAGGAUGCCAGUUUCCCAGUCAACGCCAUUCAGUAUUGCCUCGCGCAAGCGAACCUCGAGCCCGAGGACCUUGAUCAUGUCGGGUUUUACGACAAGCCGUUGAAGAAAUUCGAACGGUUGCUGGAAACCUACUUGGCGUUUGCCCCGG
Molecule: unclassified non-coding RNA, 346 nt
Filed under: uncultured bacterium
Lineage: Bacteria
Description: contains 16S-23S intergenic spacer region
Source: RNAcentral